This is a long non-coding RNA of Cyanistes caeruleus (blue tit), 1763 nucleotides long. The record is from Ensembl. Lineage: Eukaryota; Metazoa; Chordata; Aves; Passeriformes; Paridae.
AAUCUUCACAGAGCUUCCAGCUUGUAAUACUGAGUACAUGAGAAUAGUGGCAGAUUUGUCACUUUUUCUUAGUGUGCUUUUUAGAAGUACAUGAAUAACAAUAGUAUAAUAUUGUGGAGAAAAAGAUGUUUUACAGUGUACUGGUUGCAGAAGGAAUGGCUGACUUUUAUCUCUCUUGAUGAGCUUUACUUUUGGGUGGGUUCCCAAAUACAUUGCUGAGGAGCCAAAUGGUAGAAAUGUAGAGCCUAUCCAAGAGCACUUGUUUGACAGAUUGGCAGAUUUUGUGGCACAUUUUCUUCUUGUUCCCAGGGAUGCUAAAGAUGCUUUUUCUCAGGUUAAAUGCUUAGGAAAAGAUGGAGAGCUGUCUCUUGUGUCUGUUAACAUUAAGGAGAGGAGGUUUGGAACAUGCUGUACUCAGAAAUCCUGAAUUAAUGAGGUCCUGUGCAAUGGAGCAGUUUCUGUGAGAUGUGAGUGGCUGUUGUAGAUGGCUGCUUUGACCACAGGAAUUGUAUUUCCCUUCUGAACCCCAGUCUGGACAGACUGUGUAGUGUCAGUGGGAAACAAAGAAAAAAGCUCCAGGAGAGCCAAAGCCUCUGAAGGGAGAGCAAGGAAAUGACACUUGACCUUGGCUUUUAUAAGCCCCUUUGCUUGGGUUUUCUUAAACUUAUAAUAUUAUACAGAUUAGUAAUGAGCCAUUUCCAGAAAGGUGUAUCAGUUUCUUUAUGUAUAAAUAUAUUUUCCUCCUACAUGGUAUAUUGUAUGUUGAUGUUAAGAUUGCAUUGGAUUGUGAUGCAAUUGAUGUAAGAGGCUUUUGUGAGGAUUUCUGACAUCUUUCUGAAUUGCUGUUAAAAUGUAAUUCUUAUUAUCCUUGUCUUUUAAUAGUUUGCUACUGGAGAUCAUUACUGUAAAUUUUCUGAUUAUUAUUCUCUGGUUUUAGCACUAAACUGUUUUUUUCCGAGUCAGUAUUUGAGAAUAGAUUUUCUAAGAAAAAGAUACAUUGAAAAUUACUCAGUUGUAAGGACUAUGAGUGUGGUACUGACAAAUUGCAGCAUUUUCAGUCAGGUGUCUUUCUGGGAACAAUUCACUCACAGAACACAUUUCAGUUAUGAAAGCUGUAAAACAUAAAGCAGCCUUGGUUUACUUGAAAAUGGUGAUAACAUAGUGAUUCAUUAUAUAAAGCAUUUAGCAGUAAUUUGGAUUCAGGAUUUUUUUGACUGUAUUUUUAUAUUCUUGAAUUACAUAAUCAGAAGUUUGAUUCAAAGAGCCUUUGUAAGAUUUGGUUGUAAGAUUUUUUACAUAUAUAUUUAUGUAUUAAUGUGCACACAUACAUAUUAAUUAAAACUUCAGUAAAGCUUUUAAACACAAACAAUCCUAAUGGGGUUUUUAUUUUCAUUUUUAUUUCAAAGCUUCCACUAACCUAGUUUAGAUAUAGAAACUUCUAGCAUGUUAAUGUUGAUCAUAAGUUUGAUAAAAUCAAACAGUUUCACUGUUUAAAUAUUCACAGAAAGUAGUGCAGAGAGGUACCAGCAAAAAAGCUUCUUUUGUAGCACAGUCUGUUGUGUUCAGUGAACAAGUGAUAAACUAGCAAAAGCACAGUGAAGGUUUACUGAUAGAGUUGUACUGACAGGGUUUUUUUGCAUGGAUCUGUUUAUAUCUUCUUUGAUUUUUGACUUGCCAAUAUCAUAAUUGAUUUUCAAAUGGCACUAUUUGUUAAAAAAGAUUUUUUUAAAAAAAUAAAUAUUUGUCAAAGAAAACUGUUGCCA